This 382-nucleotide small RNA is filed under the name Pongo abelii (Sumatran orangutan). RNAcentral's name for it is "processed transcript". Lineage: Eukaryota; Metazoa; Chordata; Mammalia; Primates; Hominidae. The record is from RNAcentral.
GCAUCCGGCUGGAGCUCAGCCGCGCUUGUCCGGUGCUAGGUCACCCUGCCAAACACCCGAGGCCCCAAAGAUGGUGCAAAGUGAACUUCAGCUACAGCCCAGAGCAGGCGGACGAGCUGAAGCUGCAAGCUGGGGAGAUCGUGGAAAUGAUAAAGGAGGCCUUGGUAAUCCAGACAUGCCUUCAGUCAGCCCUGGUCCCCAGCAGCCUCCCAAGACCACAGAGGAUAAGGGCUGGUGGGAAGGAGAGUGUCAAGGACGAAGAGGAGUUUUUCCAGACAACUUCGUACUCCCACCACCCCCCAUUAGGAUGCUCAACCUUUACUUCUUUUCUGCAUAGAUCAAGAAGCUGGUCCCACGGAAAGUGGUAUCUCGGGAAUCAGGU